UAUUAUAAGAUUUUGAUGAUUGGGAUGUGAUGUGAACAGAGCUGUGGAAGAUUUUGAUGAUUGGACUAAUUGGCUUAUGUAUAAAGGUGGAGUUGGAGUGAAAGGAGACAAUAGAUGGGAAUCUUGGCGGGAUGAAGAACAGACACAUAUCCAGAAAAUCAGAGGGCGUGUACUUGACACUAUAUUAUGCUUGAGGUUCUUCAUAUUUCAAUACGAGAUAGUCUACAAGCUCCAGCUCACUGGAAAUCAUACAUCAUUAUUGCUUUACGGGUUCUCAUGGGUGGUGUUAGAUGAAAUUGUGAUGAUAUACUCUCUAGUUCAUAGGAUCACGGAUUGUCUAUUAGCCUGAGGUCAUAAGAAUUAUCGGAGCAGGGGUUCAUUAGUCUUAAAGAAUUAUGAAAGGCAAGAUACAACUCUACUUAGUUGGAAUUUGAUGUUUAUCAUAUUUGUGUAUAUCUUUUUAGUUUGUAUAGCAUUACAUUGCA
Lactuca sativa (garden lettuce) is the source of this 485-nucleotide non-coding RNA. NCBI's taxonomy places the organism in Eukaryota, Viridiplantae, Streptophyta, Magnoliopsida, Asterales, Asteraceae. The record is from RefSeq and is a predicted model, not a curated record.